Molecule: ribosomal RNA, 375 nt
Filed under: uncultured bacterium
Lineage: Bacteria
Description: bacterial SSU rRNA
Rfam family: Bacterial small subunit ribosomal RNA
Source: RNAcentral
GUAGGGGGCGAGCGUUGUCCGGAUUUAUUGGGCGUAAAGAGCUCGUAGGCGGUUCGAUAAGUCGGAUGUGAAAUCUCCACGCUCAACGUGGAGGGGCCAUUCGGUACUGUCGUGACUCGAGUCCGGUAGGGGAGUGUGGAAUUCCCGGUGUAGCGGUGAAAUGCGCAGAGAUCGGGAGGAACACCCGUAGCGAAGGCGGCACUCUGGGCCGGUACUGACGCUGAGGAGCGAAAGCGUGGGGAGCAAACAGGAUUAGAUACCCUGGUAGUCCACGCCGUAAACGUUGGGCACUAGGUGUGGGACUCUAUCGACGGGUUCCGUGCCGUAGCUAACGCAUUAAGUGCCCCGCCUGGGGAGUACGGCCGCAAGGCUAAA